Molecule: ribosomal RNA, 388 nt
Filed under: uncultured bacterium
Lineage: Bacteria
Description: bacterial SSU rRNA
Rfam family: Bacterial small subunit ribosomal RNA
Source: RNAcentral
GAUGAACGCUAGCGGCAGGCCUAAUACAUGCAAGUCGAACGGUAAGGCCCUUUCGGGGUACACGAGUGGCGGACGGGUGCGUAACGCGUAUGCAACAUGCCUUCCAGCGGGGGAUAUACCAGGGAAACUUGGCGCAAUACCCCAUAGAAUUACGGGACCGCAUGGUCUUGUGAUUAAAACUCCGGUGCUGGGAGAUUGGCAUGCGUGACAUUAGCUAGUUGGCGGGGUAACGCCCACCAAGGCGACGAUGUCUAGCUGGUCUGAGAGGAUGAUCAGCCACACUGGGACUGAGACACGGCCCAGACUCCUACGGGAGGCAGCAGUAGGGAAUAUUGGACAAUGGGGGGAACCCUGAUCCAGACCACUGCCGCGUGAGGGAAGAAGGUCC